This 203-nucleotide non-coding RNA is filed under the name Streptomyces dysideae. RNAcentral describes it as "Streptomyces sp. RV15 Streptomyces sRNA 4677". It matches the Rfam family "Streptomyces sRNA 4677". From Rfam's summary of the family: Located in the intergenic region between anti-sigma factor SCO4677 gene and a putative regulatory protein gene SCO4676. scr4677 expression requires the SCO4677 activity and scr4677 sRNA itself seem to affect the levels of the SCO4676-associated transcripts. Lineage: Bacteria; Bacillati; Actinomycetota; Actinomycetes; Kitasatosporales; Streptomycetaceae. The record is from Rfam by way of RNAcentral.
UGUUCAGUUCCGGGCUCUGCCGGGACACGAUGAUCCGAUCAGCGAUGGAGGGCACCCACCGUGGCGCGAACGGAGUGACUCGGUUGCAGCACGUGGGCACGGAGGGUUACGUUCGCCGCAACAACCUCACACGGACGACGGCCCCCGGCCAGGACGGCAAUCCUGAUCGAGGGCCUGACCAAUCAGGAAGAAACCCCUUCCCA